GGGUCUAAUACCGGAUAACACUCUGUCCUGCAUGGGACGGGGUUGAAAGCUCCGGCGGUGAAGGAUGAGCCCGCGGCCUAUCAGCUUGUUGGUGGGGUAAUGGCCUACCAAGGCGACGACGGGUAGCCGGCCUGAGAGGGCGACCGGCCACACUGGGACUGAGACACGGCCCAGACUCCUACGGGAGGCAGCAGUGGGGAAUAUUGCACAAUGGGCGAAAGCCUGAUGCAGCGACGCCGCGUGAGGGAUGACGGCC
Molecule: ribosomal RNA, 256 nt
Filed under: Streptomyces microflavus
Lineage: Bacteria; Bacillati; Actinomycetota; Actinomycetes; Kitasatosporales; Streptomycetaceae
Description: partial 16S ribosomal RNA
Rfam family: Bacterial small subunit ribosomal RNA
Source: RNAcentral